CCACGGACAAUGCACUUAUUUUUAAACGAGCAUGACAUGAGGUGUGUUUAUAAAUUAUCAGGGAUUUUAUGUAUUGUACAUAGAUGACAAUAGGAAAUUGUUUAUUUCAAGAAAUAGCUUUGUUACAGUAAAAUAUUUGUCAUUUAAAACCCAGCUGUUUAGCAAGGAGUGUUGGCUCACACCUACAAUCCCAGCAUUUGGGAAGCUGAGGCAAGCAGAUUACCACAAGUUUGAAACCAACCUUGGCUGCAUACAGAUGAUGUAUAUAUAGGCCAGCAUGGGUUACACUGUCUGUCUUAGCAAACAAAAUUUCAACUGUUUGAGAAAGAUUUUGUUCUGAUCUAAUGAAUGUGGACAUUUAAAUUUUUUAUCUGUUUUUUAAUGGCAACUUUGGAAAUAAGUAACUUGCGGUGAUAAAUCUUUUUAAAGGCAACUCAGUAUUUUUUAAAGGACAAAAUAAACUGACUGAAGGGUUCGCUACUUCCAGUCACAACCUGUGUAUAGAAGAAAGAAAGGGUCAGUGAUCGAGAAUCAGACACUCUCGUUCAGGAGGAGGCUUCUCGCCUGAAACAAUUGCACCCAACACUUUUGGGGAAGUCUCAUUUUUGCAUUAGGACAUAUUUUAGGUUAAACAAAAGCAUAUUUUAGAAACAGACAAAAGCCAACUGAAAAUCGUGGAUGAAUAGUUACUCUGGACAGGACUUUUGACAUGUCUUGCUCUGUGGAAUUUUGUGCUUACUACUGUAUAGUGCAUGUGGCUUAGGUUACCCUAGCUGGUUUUGUCCGUGUAAACAUUGAAAGUAUUAUAUUUUUAUAGAAAUGUUUAUUUUUAAUGAUGUAAGAAAAAUUUUCCUUAGGCCGCAGAAAUCCUGCACUGUGAGCAUUUCAGAAGAGGUAUGUGAGACCCAGUUCAACGACAGCAUGAUUUUUUAAAUGGCUGUAAGUUAUGAUAAGGAAAUGUACUGAUUGCCAGUGCACUCCACCCUCAUUACGUCACCAGGACUUGAAGCCAAGGGUUAAGAGGGCAAGCUAUGACAUGGGUGUGUGGUCUGCUGAAACCCAAUCGUUGAACUUGGCUGUUGUUACAGGAAAAUGAUGGCAUCAACAGGUCUUUGAUGGUGGUGGAGCAUAUCAGAACACAUAAGGAACUGUAGCCCAGAUUUAUUUCAAUUCAAAUAUUACUGCUUCGUAAUUAUGAAGAGUAGUGCAAAUUUACAGAGCACUGUCAAAGACUGACAGAAAAAAAAAAGAUCUGCUCUGUAGAAAGAAUUGUCUGCCAUUACAGGGUCAAGAAAAUGAAUGCGCCAAUAACAGUAAGAGCUGUGGAAGACACCCAUACCUGUAUAUACAUGCUCGAGAAAGCUGUAAUGUGAAAAUCAUGUUCUCUAUUUAUGACUCUUCCUAGGGCAAUGUGUCUGGACAGAUUGUAAGAGUAAGUCAUUUUCCUAAAGAAUUAGAUAUUUGUCACUGCCUAUACCUGCAGUUGAGCUGAAUGGUACUCCAUGUGUUAAUAAUUGUUCUGAUGAAUCAUACAGUUGAAAUAAAGUGACGUAACAUCUUG
This 1561-nucleotide long non-coding RNA is filed under the name Mus musculus (house mouse). RNAcentral describes it as "long non-coding RNA chr6:17572409-17573970". Lineage: Eukaryota; Metazoa; Chordata; Mammalia; Rodentia; Muridae. The record is from RNAcentral.